AUUUCUUCAAACCUGUCACACAGACUGCCAUGCUAUUGAUAAGGUGCUGCCCUGGUCCAUUGCAGAACCCUGCCACCAGGGGGCUGUAUUGAGAACAGAUGCAUACUUGCCUGCCUGGAAUGGCAGAUUCUCCUUGUUUAUUCAUUAAUCCUUUGAGUGUCAGAGACAUGACCAGCACAUUGCAAAGUGUGCAACACAUAUUUGACACUCGAAGGGUUAAAUCUAUGACAUCAUUAUGGGAGCACAAAGAAAGCUCAACGUUUUGUUUUUUUCUAUUUCCAUAAAAUGAUUUUAAUA
Molecule: non-coding RNA, 297 nt
Organism: Pelobates cultripes (western spadefoot toad)
Lineage: Eukaryota; Metazoa; Chordata; Amphibia; Anura; Pelobatidae
Source: the annotation of a GenBank genome assembly